Molecule: long non-coding RNA, 392 nt
Filed under: Cairina moschata (Muscovy duck)
Lineage: Eukaryota; Metazoa; Chordata; Aves; Anseriformes; Anatidae
Description: domestica (muscovy Duck (domestic type)) lncRNA (ENSCMMG00000006547.1)
Source: RNAcentral
UCGCCGCCUUCGACCCGCACCAACUGGGCAAGUACCGGGGCCGGCCCGGCAAGCGCGCCCGGGGACGGGGACGGAGCCGACCCCAAACCCAAUCCCAAUCCCAAACCCAGCGGCCCCAGAGACCCCGACGGGGGACGGCGGAGAAGGCCCCCCGGCUGCGACCCCUCGAGGCCCCGCCCCCGCCUGGCCCCGCCCCUGACCUGGGACCGGGCCCUGAGCGCCGGGGGCAGGGCGGGCGUCCCCCGCGGGGCCACCUGGGAGCGCCUGAUUGGUCAGUGACGACCCCUGACCCCUGACCCCAUUGACCCCAUUGACCCCAUUGACCCCACUGACCCUAGUGACCUCCCUUGACCCCGUUGACUUCCCUUGACCCUAUUAAUCUUCCUUGACCC